GCUUUCUGGUGAUUCAUAAUAACUUCUCGAAUCGCACGGCCUUGCGCCGGCGAUGGUUCAUUCAAAUUUCUGCCCUAUCAACUUUCGACGGCUGGGCCUUGGCCAGCCGUGGUGACAACGGGUAACGGAGGGUUAGGGCUCGACCCCGGAGAAGGAGCCUGAGAAACGGCUACUACAUCCAAGGAAGGCAGCAGGCGCGCAAAUUACCCAAUCCCGACUCGGGGAGGUAGUGACAAUAAAUACUGAUACAGGGCUCUUUUGGGUCUUGUAAUUGGAAUGAGUACAAUUUAAAUCCCUUAACGAGGAACAAUUGGAGGGCAAGUCUGGUGCCAGCAGCCGCGGUAAUUCCAGCUCCAAUAGCGUAUAUUAAAGUUGUUGCAGUUAAAAAGCUCGUAGUUGAACCUUGGGCCUGGCUGGCCGGUCCGCCUCACCGCGUGCACUGGUCCGGCCGGGCCUUUCCCUCUGGGGAACCGCAUGCCCUUCACUGGGUGUGUCGGGGAACCAGGACUUUUACUUUGAACAAAUUAGAUCGCUUAAAGAAGGCCUAUGCUCGAAUACAUUAGCAGGGAAUAAUAGAAUAGGACGUGUGGUUCUAUUUUGUUGGUUUCUAGGACCGCCGUAAUGAUUAAUAGGGACAGUCGGGGGCAUCAGUAUUCAAUUGUCAGAGGUGAAAUUCUUGGAUUAAUUGAAGACUAACUACUGCGAAAGCAUUUGCCAAGGAUGUUUUCAUUAAUCAGGAACGAAAGUUAGGGGAUCGAAGACGAUCAGAUACCGUCGUAGUCUUAACCAUAAACUAUGCCGACUAGGGAUCGGACGAUGUUAUAUUUUGACUCGUUCGGCACCUUACACGAAAGUAAAGUUUCUGGGUUCUGGGGGGAGUAUGGUCGCAAG
RNAcentral lists this ribosomal RNA (891 nucleotides) under uncultured Coniochaetales. RNAcentral's name for it is "SSU rRNA". It matches the Rfam family "Eukaryotic small subunit ribosomal RNA", at positions 238 to 1135 of the family's 1831-position model. The record is from RNAcentral. Lineage: Eukaryota; Fungi; Ascomycota; Sordariomycetes; Coniochaetales.